CUGCAAGGUGCUGCAUGGUUGUCGUCAGCUCGUGCCGUGAGGUGUCGGGUUAAGUCCCAUAACGAGCGCAACCCUUAUCGUUAGUUGCCAUCUGGUAAUGCAGGGGACUCUAGCGAAACUGCCACCGUAAGGUGAGAGGAAGGUGGGGAUGACGUCAAAUCAGCACGGCCCUUAUGUCCAGGGCUACACACGUGUUACAAUGGUCGGUACAGAGGGCAGCUACCUGGUGACAGGAUGCUAAUCUCGAAAACCGGUCUCAGUUCGGAUCGAAGUCUGCAACUCGACUUCGUGAAGCUGGAUUCGCUAGUAAUCGCGCAUCAGCUAUGGCCGCGGUCGAAUACGUUCCCGGGCCUU
This 354-nucleotide ribosomal RNA is filed under the name uncultured Sphingobacteriales bacterium. Its description in RNAcentral is "bacterial SSU rRNA". It matches the Rfam family "Bacterial small subunit ribosomal RNA", at positions 1031 to 1382 of the family's 1533-position model. The record is from RNAcentral. Lineage: Bacteria; Pseudomonadati; Bacteroidota; Sphingobacteriia; Sphingobacteriales.